Molecule: ribosomal RNA, 405 nt
Filed under: uncultured bacterium
Lineage: Bacteria
Description: partial 16S ribosomal RNA
Rfam family: Bacterial small subunit ribosomal RNA
Source: RNAcentral
GUUGAACGCUGGCGGCGUGCCUAAUACAUGCAAGUCGAGCGAAGCGGGGACGGGUGAGUAACACGUGGAUCACCCCCUAUAAGACUGGGAUAACUUCGGGAAACCGGAGCUAAACCGGAUAAUUAUCGCAUGAUCCUCGCUGCAUUAGCUAGUUGAGACGGUAACGGCUUACCAAGGCAACGAUGCAUAGACGACCUGAGAGGGUGAUCGGCCACACUGGAACUGAGAAACGGUCCAGACUCCUACGGGAGGCAGCAGUAGGGAAGCUUCCGCAAUGGGCGAAAGCCUGACGGAGCAACGCCGCGUGAGUGAUGAAGGUCUUCGGAUCGUAAAGCUCUGUUAUUAGGGAAGCGGUACCUACUCAGAAAGCCCCGGCUAACUACGUGCCAGCAGCCGCGGUAAUAC